This is a long non-coding RNA of Homo sapiens (human), 1252 nucleotides long. Lineage: Eukaryota; Metazoa; Chordata; Mammalia; Primates; Hominidae. The record is from Ensembl.
CUCUAUGUUUUAUUACUCUUUUUAGUGGUGGAAUUUUUGUUAGUCCUUUUGCAAAUUUUGAGAAUUUUAACAUCUACUUUUUCCCCCUCGUUCUUUCCAAAUGAAAACUGUUACCAUUAUUUCUGUUUUGAAAGUAGUAUCAAAGGCUGUCUGUAUUUAUGUGAGCAACAUGCCAAAUAUUUUGAUAGCUUGUACUCUAUCUCUCCCAUUCCAUAUUUUGGUAUAAUUAUUAGGGAGCAGAUCAGAAAUUUUGCUACAUCUGAUCAAUAAUUAUGAUUUUUCUUAACCUUAGAGGAAUUAGAACUGUGUCAUUCAGUGAUGUGUAAUACUAAUACAUAGUUUUAAUAUCUUUGGUUAUUUGAACCACCAAACUCUCUAGUAGUUAAUUUUAAGACUUAUGUUAAUUAUCAAAACUGCAGUGUCUCACUGUGUAACCAUUUCUGAGGCACCUGUAAAUAAUAUCUGAUGUUACAGAGAUGAUCCCAGAAAAAGCCUUCAGUGAAGGAAAAAACUUAAAACUUACUAUACACGUAGCCUCAUCAAAUUUGUUUCCCCAAAUGUAGAUAUGAGAGAAAGUGAGAUUUGUUUUCAUUGAUUGUGAAAGUGCAACAAGUCCUUCUCCCUCUAUGUUGUUGCUGACUACUGACAACCUGAAACCAAUAAUUCCACAAGGAAAGAAUACAAAAAUUAGCAACAUUUAUUACAAACACUUUCUUGUGUAGUCUUAGCAUUAUUCUUCAGUAUGUUGUAAUGUAGUGGUAAAAAUACUGACCAUUUAAUUCCUAAAAUCCAAGAAACUUAGUUUUCUAAUUAGAUCCUUAAGGUACUUAGUAGAGCUAACUACAUUUUGAAAGUCUUCUGUUUUAUAUUAUUCAGUAAAUGUUUGGGUGGAUAGCAGAUAUAUUUUUCUGGAUAAAUGCAUCCAAGUAUUUUAUUCUUUAGUUCAUUCUUACUUUUAAAAGUCUUGAUCAUAUUGAAUGCUUCUGAGUUUUCUAUUAGAAUUCAGGAUAAGUAAUAUAAGCAAUGCAAAUUUUCUCAUUAAUUUGAAGGAAUCGUUAAUAGAAUCAGUCUAAUUGUAAAAGACAUUACAUUUGAAAAAUAGAAAUGUAAAUGUUUACUGUAACUUAAUACUAUGUCAGUUUAGAAGCUGAGUUUUCAUAUUUCAUUAUAAUCUUAAGAGUUAAGGGGAUUGAGGUUAGUAUUUAAAAAUUUGCUUUUCUGUUAUUUUGAUUAAAUAUAAAACCAUACUAAC